UACGUAGGUCCCGAGCGUUGUCCGGAUUUAUUGGGCGUAAAGCGAGCGCAGGUGGUUUAUUAAGUCUGGUGUAAAAGGCAGUGGCUCAACCAUUGUAUGCAUUGGAAACUGGUAGACUUGAGUGCAGGAGAGGAGAGUGGAAUUCCAUGUGUAGCGGUGAAAUGCGUAGAUAUAUGGAGGAACACCGGUGGCGAAAGCGGCUCUCUGGUCUGUAACUGACGCUGAGGAGCGAAAGCGUGGGGAGCGAACAGG
RNAcentral lists this ribosomal RNA (252 nucleotides) under uncultured microorganism. Its description in RNAcentral is "partial 16S ribosomal RNA". It matches the Rfam family "Bacterial small subunit ribosomal RNA", at positions 524 to 776 of the family's 1533-position model. The record is from RNAcentral.